Long non-coding RNA from Juglans microcarpa x Juglans regia, 107 nucleotides. RefSeq lists it as uncharacterized. The transcript is spliced from 3 exons. The record is from RefSeq and is a predicted model, not a curated record. Lineage: Eukaryota; Viridiplantae; Streptophyta; Magnoliopsida; Fagales; Juglandaceae.
CCCCUUACUAAGUAAAAAAAAGACAAAAAAUACCUCCCUCAGCCAAACACCUCAUAGAAUUUUUCAAUGACAAGUAAACCUGAGUCGAUAGACUCCAAGGGAUCCUU